UGGGUAACCUGCCCCAUAAACCGGGACAACAGUUGGAAACGACUGCUAAUACCGGAUACUCUCGCGAGGAGGCAUCUCUUUGCGAGGAAAGGUGGCCUCUGAAUAUGCUACCGAUAUGGGAUGGACCCGCGUCUGAUUAGCUAGUUGGUGGGGUAACGGCCUACCAAGGCGACGAUCAGUAGCCGGCCUGAGAGGGUGACCGGCCACAUUGGGACUGAGACACGGCCCAGACUCCUACGGAAGGCAGCAG
RNAcentral lists this ribosomal RNA (250 nucleotides) under uncultured bacterium. Its description in RNAcentral is "partial 16S ribosomal RNA". It matches the Rfam family "Bacterial small subunit ribosomal RNA", at positions 118 to 354 of the family's 1533-position model. The record is from RNAcentral.